CGUAGCCUACGGGGGGCAGCAGUGGGGGAUAUUGCACAAUGGGGGGAACCCUGAUGCAGCGACGCCGCGUGGGUGAAGAAGCGCCUCGGCGCGUAAAGCCCUGUCAGCAGGGAAGAAAAUGACGGUACCUGAAGAAAAAGCAUCGGCUAACUCCGUGCCAGCAGCCGCGGUAAUACGGAGGAUGCGAGCGUUAUCCGGAUUUAUUGGGUUUAAAGGGUGCGUAGGCGGUCCGGAAAGUCAGCGGUAAAAGCCCGGGGCUCAACCCCGGCGAGCCGUUGAAACUGUCGGACUAGAGACGGCGAGAA
This 305-nucleotide ribosomal RNA is filed under the name uncultured bacterium. RNAcentral's name for it is "bacterial SSU rRNA". It matches the Rfam family "Bacterial small subunit ribosomal RNA", at positions 333 to 656 of the family's 1533-position model. The record is from RNAcentral.